AUUGAACUGCAGUAGUAAAACAAAAGUCAAGAUGACUGGUGAUGGCCCAGGAUGCAGUGGAUGAUCUUGAUGUCUUCCAUAUCUGACCAAAUCCUAAGAAUUCCAUAGCUCCUGCUUCAGUCACCUUCCUGGCCAUUGGAAGAAAUUGUUCUCACCUGCCCAUUCUGCCAGGGUGUGACCCAUUGGAUAGAGUUGCCAACGGUCUCAAGGUACAACAGACACAAAAGGAAGGUCCUGUCUCCCACGGACUGGUAUUAAUUGAGUUAUAGAUCUCAUCAAGGAGGUUCUGCAAAGUUCCAUCAUUUACUACAACCAGAACACUGUUAAUCUGCAAACUUGUUACCUGACACAUCUCAAAUGAACGUUCCUCAUUUUAAUACCAACAUUUCCUAGGUGAGAGGCAAUAUGGUAUUGUAUUGAAAGAAUUAACCUUUGGGUCUGAAAAACCUGUCCUUAAUAUAUGACAAUUUUAUGUUUCUGGGCAAGUCAAUCUGCCAGUGCCCAGAGCAACUCUAAAGAAUAUAAGCUAUAGAAAAAAAUGUUGAUGUGCAUUUUAUAGGGAGAAUUCCUCCCUAUGGAUUACCUGAACUGAUGAAAUUAGAGGUUGGGUCAAAACAAAUAAUUCUCCCAGUGUUUGGCAGCAAAUUAGGGAAGACUACAAUUUCCAAAGUACUGACAAUGUUUAUCACUUCCAGAAUAAUUGAGAUGGCUCUACGUGUCUGUCUAUAUUGUACAAAGGGAAUAGGAAGAACUGAAGAAGUAGAAUACCCUUAUUAAUAAUCCAUGUAUUCUACUGCAGUUUUAAGAAUGUUAAGAGAAAGUAAGGUAGGUCCUCAGCAUUUGAUUGGAAACCCUGUGGUAAACUCAUGGGAAGACAUGUACAAGACUCAUAGAAAAUGGGUAGGCAUGGAUAGUUUUGUCUUCUACUUUGUUGGAAGGAAUAUCCAAAAUAUGAGAUAAAUCUGAAUAUUUGAGUUUAAAGAAAAGAACUAUCUUACAGCUUUAGCUUGUCCCCAAAUGGAAAGAACAGGUGAAAUCUUUGGUACUUGAAAAUUUUAAGCAGAAACUUUAUGACUAUUUGUAAGACAUUCUAGAAAUGGGAUUAAUACUUGGAGAAUAGUCAAAGGAGAAGAUCUCUGAAGUCUCUUCCAUUUUUAUAUUUCUGUGAUCCAUUCUGCAUGGUUUUCUAAAGGACUAUAUUCCAUGCUUCCUGGCCUUAUCAACAUUAACAUAGAUAUGUGACUUCAAGUGAGUCAGUUAACUAAUUUAUGCUUCUAUUAGUCCUCACCUCUAAAAUGAGAGAGUUUGACAAAGAUAACUUCUGAGAUUUCUUCGAGUUUUAUAAGUGAUAGAAUGAAAGGCAUAUAAUUGCAUGAACUCAAGUUUUAUCAUCAGAAAAAUAGGAAUAACAAUAUUUAUACCAUAUGCCUCUUAGGGUUGUUGUACGUAGGGGAAGCACUUUGUUGAAAUAUAAACAUGUGAGGCAUUAAUAAGUCUUAAAUGCUAUAGAAAUGUUUUUAUACUAAUGAUGAAGAUGACAAUACCUAUGCAGAGUGCUUUGAAAGCCUUAAUGUGCUUUACAUACUUUACUCAUUGGAUUCUCAAAAUGACCCAGAAUGUUAUUAAAUUAUUAUUUUCCCCAUUUUUAGAUGUAAAAAUUGAUCCUCAUUCACCAAUAGUGGUCAAAUGACUUAUUAUUAUUAUAUUAUAACUAAUAAGGGUUGGAGUUGGGAUACAGAGUUAUUGGUUUAUUUUAAGUCUCAAACUUUCUCAAUUAUAACAGAUUCUCUCUUUAAUCUAAUUAGUCACUCUAACCACAGAAUUUAAGGCAAAUUGAGAUCACACAGCCCAAUGCCUCUCUCUAUCUCUGCCUCUGUC
This is a long non-coding RNA of Monodelphis domestica (gray short-tailed opossum), 1878 nucleotides long. RefSeq lists it as uncharacterized. The record is from RefSeq and is a predicted model, not a curated record. Lineage: Eukaryota; Metazoa; Chordata; Mammalia; Didelphimorphia; Didelphidae.